RNAcentral lists this ribosomal RNA (478 nucleotides) under uncultured bacterium. Its description in RNAcentral is "partial 16S ribosomal RNA". It matches the Rfam family "Bacterial small subunit ribosomal RNA", at positions 28 to 507 of the family's 1533-position model. The record is from RNAcentral.
GAUGAACGCUGGCGGCGUGCCUAACACAUGCAAGUCGAACGGAGUCCAGCCUUUAAGACCUUCGGGUCAAAGAGGGGAAGACUGAGUGGCGGACGGGUGAGUAACACGUGGGCAACCUGGCUCAUAGAGGGGGAUAACAGAGAGAAAUUUCUGCUAAUACCUCAUAAGCACACACUGCCGCAUUGCAGAGGGUGAAAAGAGAAUCGCUAUGAGAUGGACCCGCGUCUGAUUAGCCAGUUGGCAGGGUAAGAGCCUACCAAAGCGACGAUCAGUAGCCGAUCUGAGAGGAUGAACGGCCACAUUGGGACUGAGACACGGCCCAAACUCCUACGGGAGGCAGCAGUGGGGGAUAUUGCACAAUGGGGGGAACCCUGAUGCAGCGACGCCGCGUGAGUGAAGAAGUAUUUCGGUAUGUAAAGCUCUAUCAGCAGGGAAGAUAAUGACAGUACCUGAAUAAGAAGCCCCGGCUAACUACGUG